UAGGGAAUCUUCCACAAUGGACGCAAGUCUGAUGGAGCAACGCCGCGUGAGUGAAGAAGGUUUUCGGACCGUAAAGCUCUGUUGUUGGUGAAGAAGGAUAGAGGUAGUAACUGGCCUUUAUUUGACGGUAAUCAACCAGAAAGUCACGGCUAACUACGUGCCAGCAGCCGCGGUAAUACGUAGGUGGCAAGCGUUGUCCGGAUUUAUUGGGCGUAAAGCGAGCGCAGGCGGAAGAAUAAGUCUGAUGUGAAAGCCCUCGGCUUAACCGAGGAAUUGCAUCGGAAACUGUUUUCUGAGUGCAGAAGAGGAGAGUAGAACUCCAUGUGUAGCGGUGGAAUGCGUAGAUAUAUGGAAGAAUACCAGUGGCGAAGGCGGCUCUCUGGUCUGCAACUGACGCUGAGGCUCGAAAGCAUGGGUAGCGAACAGGAUUAGAUACCCUGGUAGUCCAUGCCGUAAACGAUGAGUGCUAAGUGUUGGGAGGCUUCCGCCUCUCAGUGCUGCAGCUAACGCAUUAAGCACUCCGCCUGGGGGAGUACGACCGCAAGGUUGAAAC
Molecule: ribosomal RNA, 553 nt
Filed under: uncultured bacterium
Lineage: Bacteria
Description: partial 16S ribosomal RNA
Rfam family: Bacterial small subunit ribosomal RNA
Source: RNAcentral